AUUGAACGCUGGCGGCAGGCCUAACACACGCAAGUCGAGCGGAUGACGGGAGCUUGCUCCUUGAUUCAGCGGCGGACGGGUGAGUAAUGCCUAGGAAUCUGCCUGGUAGUGGGGGACAACGCUUUGAAAGGAACGCUAAUACCGCAUACGGCCUACGGGAGAAAGCAGGGGACCUUCGGGCCUUGCGCUAUCAGAUGAGCCUAGGUCGGAUUAGCUCGUUGGUGGGGUAAUGGCUCACCAAGGCGACGAGCCGUAACUGGUCUGAGAGGAAGAUCAGUCACACUGGAAAUGAGACACGGUCCAGACUACUACGGGAGGCAGCAGUGGGGAAUAUUGGACAAUGGGCGAAAGCCUGAUCCAGCCAUGCCGCGUUUGUGAAGAAGUUCUUCGGAUUGUAAAGCACUUUAAGUUGGGAGGAAGGGCAGUAAGUUAAUACCUUGCUGUUUUGACGUUACCGACAGAAUAAGCACCGGCUAACUCUGUGCCAGCAGCCGCCGUAA
RNAcentral lists this ribosomal RNA (500 nucleotides) under uncultured bacterium. RNAcentral's name for it is "partial 16S ribosomal RNA". It matches the Rfam family "Bacterial small subunit ribosomal RNA", at positions 30 to 523 of the family's 1533-position model. The record is from RNAcentral.